CCAAUAGCGUAUAUUAAAGUUGUUGCAGUUAAAAAGCUCGUAGUUGAACUUCGGGAUUUGUUAAUUGGUCAGGCUUCACUGUCUGUACUGGUGUAACGAAUUCUUACCUUCUGAUGAAUCUUCAUGCCAUUCACUUGGUGCGGAGGGGAAUCAGGACUGUUACUUUGAAAAAAUUAGUGUGUUUAAAGCAGGCUAUUGCUCGAAUACUUUAGCAUGGAAUAAUAAAAUAGGACGGUUGGUUUUAUUUUGUUGGUUUCUAGGAUCACCGUAAUGAUUAAUAGGGAUAGUUGGGGGCAUUAGUAUUCAAUUGUCAGAGGUGAAAUUCUUGGAUUUAUUGAAGACUAACUACUGCGAAAGCAUUUGCCAAGGAUGUUUUCAUUAAUCAAGAACGAAAGUUAGGGGAUCGAAGACGAUCAGAUACCGUCGUAGUCUUAACCAUAAACUAUGCCGACUAGGGAUCGGACGAAGUUAAUUUUUAAAUGACUCGUUCGGCACCUUACG
Molecule: ribosomal RNA, 501 nt
Filed under: uncultured Glomeromycotina
Lineage: Eukaryota; Fungi; Glomeromycota
Description: partial small subunit ribosomal RNA
Rfam family: Eukaryotic small subunit ribosomal RNA
Source: RNAcentral